ACGUUCCAUCAAUCAUUCUAACAAGAUCUUUAUGUAGAAGAUCUCUUGGGAGAAGUGAUCAUAGAAGACGUUCCUUCAUGGUUCGGAGGCUUCGACUUCGAAUUCGGAUUCAGGGCUCCUGCCACUUACGUAGUACUUUCGCUUUAGGGCUUUAGCUAUCUUCACAGGCCUCGACAUAUGGGCCUCGGCUAGUUUCAUAGGCCUCAAUAUAUGGGCCUCGACAUGAAGGACCUUGGUCAUACAUGCCACCUCGGUUAGAGCGCCACGUGGUUCGAAUUGAGUGGGCCAUAGGCCCAAGUAGAUUGACCAAGUAUGACAACACGUAACAAUGUAUACUAGCUAUACUGAUUGAAAUCAUCAUUUAAACCAAGAGCUAACACAUAUCGAUUAAAUUAAUAUCUUCUACCUUUCUAAACACCCAUUUAGAUAAAGCAAAUGUGCAGAUACACUGGAAGAAAUCAAAGCCCAAUAAUAACCCCUACAAAAUCUAGAAUUUUCAAUAAAAGAAGAGACGUUAUCGAACUCCAUUUAUUAACUCUCCUUUCAAAUGUAAAAACAAACAACAAUGAAAAGUAUGGAGUAAAAUGUAUUGAACAAGAAUUACAACAGCUACAGAAAUUUUGGAAAAAAAAAAUCAAAAAUUUUUGUGGACUCACAUGAUCCCAUGUGGAUCCGCCCAUGGGGAUACAUUUCUUGGCAAUAAAAUUUGUGCCCUAGCAUUGCUUCGUUUAAAACACCUGUACAGACUUUAAUGCUGAAAUAGCUCUAGUAUUUCUGUUGCUACUGGGUGGAAUUUUCUUUUUCAACAGGUAUCUGGACCUAUGGUUUUUGCUAAUGGAAUGGCAGGAGCUGCUAUAUGUGAAUUAGUUCGUGUUGGAAAUGACAUUCUUUAACUUGAAGAGUUGAGAUGAUUCUAGGUUUAUUUAUACCUAUUUGCCCAUUUUUGCAAGCCAUAUCAGUGAAAUUGGGUCCUGGAAUAUUGGGAAACAUCUUUGACGGUAUUCAGAGGCCUCUAAAGACAAUUGGAAAACGAUCGGUGAUGUCUAUAUUUCUCGUGUUGUAUCUGUCCCAGCCCUAGACAAAGACAUUCUUUGGGAAUAUCAACCUACAAAAUUGGGUACCUGGAAACUGAUCGGCUUUGUUAUUUUAGUGUUGAUUCCAAUGGUUUUCGUGCAUAUUAUUAGUAAUGCAUUGCAACUUGGUGAAUCUUGUUAUUCUAAUAUAAUUUUGUGAUGGUAGGAGAGAGAGAUAUUUUAACAGGUGGAGAUUUAUAUGUGGUGAGUUUGACAAAACUACGUAGAAAUUUAAGAACUUCACGAAACCUA
This is a long non-coding RNA of Olea europaea var. sylvestris, 1325 nucleotides long. RefSeq lists it as uncharacterized. The transcript is spliced from 2 exons. The record is from RefSeq and is a predicted model, not a curated record. NCBI's taxonomy places the organism in Eukaryota, Viridiplantae, Streptophyta, Magnoliopsida, Lamiales, Oleaceae.